GACGAACGCUGGCGGCGUGCCUAAUACAUGCAAGUUGAGCGCUGAAGGUUGGUACUUGUACCAACUGGAUGAGCAGCGAACGGGUGAGUAACGCGUGGGGAAUCUGCCUUUGAGCGGGGGACAACAUUUGGAAACGAAUGCUAAUACCGCAUAAAAACUUUAAACACAAGUUUUAAGUUUGAAAGAUGCAAUUGCAUCACUCAAAGAUGAUCCCGCGUUGUAUUAGCUAGUUGGUGAGGUAAAGGCUCACCAAGGCGAUGAUACAUAGCCGACCUGAGAGGGUGAUCGGCCACAAUGGGACUGAGACACGGCCCAAACUCCUACGGGAGGCAGCAGUAGGGAAUCUUCGGCAAUGGACGAAAGUCUGACCGAGCAACGCCGCGUGAGUGAAGAAGGGUUUCGGAUCGUAAAACUCUGUUGGUAGAGAAGAACGUUGGUGAGAGUGGAAAGCUCAUCAAGUGACGGUAACUACCCAGAAAGGGACGGCUAACUACGUG
This 497-nucleotide ribosomal RNA is filed under the name uncultured bacterium. Its description in RNAcentral is "partial 16S ribosomal RNA". It matches the Rfam family "Bacterial small subunit ribosomal RNA", at positions 28 to 507 of the family's 1533-position model. The record is from RNAcentral.